GACGAACGCUGGCGGCGUGCUUAGCACAUGCAAGUCGAACGGAAAGGCCCUGCUUUUGUGGGGUGCUCGAGUGGCGAACGGGUGAGUAACACGUGAGUAACCUGCCCUUGACUUUGGGAUAACUUCAGGGAACUGGGGCUAAUACCGGAUAGGAGCUCCUGCUGCAUGGUGGGGGUUGGAAAGUUUCGGCGGUUGGGGAUGGACUCGCGGCUUAUCAGCUUGUUGGUGGGGUAGUGGCUUACCAAGGCUUUGACGGGUAGCCGGCCUGAGAGGGUGACCGGCCACAUUGGGACUGAGAUACGGCCCAGACUCCUACGGGAGGCAGCAGUGGGGAAUAUUGCACAAUGGGCGGAAGCCUGAUGCAGCAACGCCGCGUGCGGGAUGACGGCCUUCGGGUUGUAAACCGCUUUCGCCUGUGACGAAGCGUGAGUGACGGUAAUGGGUAAAGAAGCACCGGCUAACUACGUG
RNAcentral lists this ribosomal RNA (468 nucleotides) under uncultured bacterium. RNAcentral's name for it is "partial 16S ribosomal RNA". It matches the Rfam family "Bacterial small subunit ribosomal RNA", at positions 28 to 507 of the family's 1533-position model. The record is from RNAcentral.